UGGGGAAUUUUGGACAAUGGGCGAAAGCCUGAUCCAGCAAUGCCGCGUGUGUGAAGAAGGCCUUCGGGUUGUAAAGCACUUUUGUCCGGAAAGAAAUCCUUGGCUCUAAUACAGUCGGGGGAUGACGGUACCGGAAGAAUAAGCACCGGCUAACUACGUGCCAGCAGCCGCGGUAAUACGUAGGGUGCAAGCGUUAAUCGGAAUUACUGGGCGUAAAGCGUGCGCAGGCGGUUUGCUAAGACCGAUGUGAAAUCCCCGGGCUCAACCUGGGAACUGCUUUGGUGACUGGCAGGCUAGAGUAUGGCAGAGGGGGGUAGAAUUCCACGUGUAGCAGUGAAAUGCGUAGAGAUGUGGAGGAAUACCGAUGGCGAAGGCAGCCCCCUGGGCCAAUACUGACGCUCAUGCACGAAAGCGUGGGGAGCAAAACAGGAUUAGAUACCCUGGUAGUCCACGCCCUAAAACGAUGUCAACUAGUUGUUGGGGACUUCAUUUCCUUAGUAACGUAGCUAACGCGUGAAGUUGACCGCCUGGGGAGUACGGUCGCAAGAUUAAAACUCAAAGGAAUUG
Molecule: ribosomal RNA, 567 nt
Filed under: uncultured bacterium
Lineage: Bacteria
Description: partial 16S ribosomal RNA
Rfam family: Bacterial small subunit ribosomal RNA
Source: RNAcentral